Long non-coding RNA from Chinchilla lanigera (long-tailed chinchilla), 463 nucleotides. RefSeq lists it as uncharacterized. The record is from RefSeq and is a predicted model, not a curated record. The transcript has 3 exons. NCBI's taxonomy places the organism in Eukaryota, Metazoa, Chordata, Mammalia, Rodentia, Chinchillidae.
UUCCACUUCAUCUACACCACCACAUCGGAAACUUUUAACCCCUUAUUUGGCAGAAAGGCUGAGAGACUGAGAGAAGAGGGAAGGUGUUUUUCUGAGGAGUGAAUAUGUGUCUUUGACCAGCUACAUAAUACAGGGCAUUCUCAGGAAAGGAAAGCAGCUGUGGAAGGUCUUGGUAGUGAGGAGACUGAUGUCAUCCAGAGAAAAACGCACAGUGUGUUGAAGCAUGAACUGGUGCAGAAGCAAGAAAAAUAAUUAGAGUCAUUUUGGAUUGGUCCCUGAAGUCAGUUUUUAAAAGCACAUUUUGGUGGCUGGAGAGUGAACCAGUGGCAGAGAGAAAUGGUGGUCAAGUUCUAACCUUAGUUUGUGAAGGAAGAGCUGGAGCCAAGAAAAUAAAAUGAGAAUAUUUACAGAGUGAACAAUGAACUGGAGUACAAACACUGAGGCCUUUGGAGCCAAGGUAGGA